This 730-nucleotide ribosomal RNA is filed under the name uncultured bacterium. Its description in RNAcentral is "bacterial SSU rRNA". It matches the Rfam family "Bacterial small subunit ribosomal RNA", at positions 771 to 1501 of the family's 1533-position model. The record is from RNAcentral.
AACAGGAUUUGAUACCCUGGUAGUCCAUGCCGUAAACGAUGUCUACUAGCCGUUGGGGCCUUUGAGGCUUUAGUGGCGCAGCUAACGCGAUAAGUAGACCGCCUGGGGAGUACGGUCGCAAGACUAAAACUCAAAUGAAUUGACGGGGGCCCGCACAAGCGGUGGAGCAUGUGGUUUAAUUCGAUGCAACGCGAAGAACCUUACCUGGUCUUGACAUAGUAAGAACUUUCCAGAGAUGGAUUGGUGCCUUCGGGAACUUACAUACAGGUGCUGCAUGGCUGUCGUCGGCUCGUGUCGUGAGAUGUUGGGUUAAGUCCCGCAACGAGCGCAACCCUUUUCCUUAUUUGCCAGCACUUCGGGUGGGAACUUUAAGGAUACUGCCAGUGACAAACUGGAGGAAGGCGGGGACGACGUCAAGUCAUCAUGGCCCUUACGACCAGGGCUACACACGUGCUACAAUGGUCGGUACAAAGGGUUGCUACCUAGCGAUAGGAUGCUAAUCUCAAAAAGCCGAUCGUAGUCCGGAUUGGAGUCUGCAACUCGACUCCAUGAAGUCGGAAUCGCUAGUAAUCGCGGAUCAGAAUGCCGCGGUGAAUACGUUCCCGGGCCUUGUACACACCGCCCGUCACACCAUGGGAGUUUGUUGCACCAGAAGUAGGUAGUCUAACCGUAAGGAGGACGCUUACCACGGUGUGGCCGAUGACUGGGGUGAAGUCGUAACAAGGUAACC